This 496-nucleotide ribosomal RNA is filed under the name uncultured bacterium. Its description in RNAcentral is "bacterial SSU rRNA". It matches the Rfam family "Bacterial small subunit ribosomal RNA", at positions 899 to 1397 of the family's 1533-position model. The record is from RNAcentral.
ACUCAAAGGAAUUGACGGGGGCCCGCACAAGCGGAGGAACAUGUGGUUUAAUUCGAUGAUACGCGAGGAACCUUACCCGGGCUCGAACGGCCGUUGAAUAUGGAUGAAAGUUCAUAGUCGCAAGACAAUGGUCGAGGUGCUGCAUGGUUGUCGUCAGCUCGUGCCGUGAGGUGUCGGCUUAAGUGCCAUAACGAGCGCAACCCUUACCGUUAGUUACCAGCAUUCAAAGAUGGGGACUCUGGCGGGACUGCCACCGUAAGGUGAGAGGAAGGCGGGGAUGACGUCAAAUCAGCACGGCCCUUACGUCCGGGGCUACACACGUGUUACAAUGGGAGGGACAGCAGGCAGCUACUCCGCGAGGGGAUGCCAAUCCCGAAACCCUCUCCCGGUUCGGAUCGGAGUCUGCAACCCGACUCCGUGAAGCCGGAUUCGCUAGUAAUCGCGCAUCAGCCAUGGCGCGGUGAAUACGUUCCCGGGCCUUGUACACACCGCCCGU